AGCUCCAAUAGCGUAUAUUAAAGUUGUUGCAGUUAAAAAGCUCGUAGUUGGAUUUCGGAGUGGGCCAGUUGGUCCGCCGCAAGGUGUGUUACUGACUGGUCUGCUCUUCUUCGCAAAGACUGCGUGUGCUCUUUGUUGAGUGUGCGUAGGAUUUACGACGUUUACUUUGAAAAAAUUAGAGUGUUCAAAGCAGGCUAUUGCUUGAAUACAUGAGCAUGGAAUAAUGGAAUAGGACUUUGGUCCCAUUUUGUUGGUUUCUAGGACCGAAGUAAUGAUUAAGAGGGACAAUUGGGGGCAUCCGUAUUUCGUUGUCAGAGGUGAAAUUCUUGGAUUUACGAAAGACGAACAACUGCGAAAGCAUUUGCCAAGAGUGUUUUCAUUAAUCAAGAACGAAAGUAGG
RNAcentral lists this ribosomal RNA (400 nucleotides) under phytoplankton environmental sample. Its description in RNAcentral is "partial small subunit ribosomal RNA". It matches the Rfam family "Eukaryotic small subunit ribosomal RNA", at positions 587 to 993 of the family's 1831-position model. The record is from RNAcentral.